UGAUCCUGGCUCAGAACGAACGCUGGCGGCAGGCCUAACACAUGCAAAGUCGAGCGCUUCACUUCGGUGAGGAGCGGCGGACGGGUUAGUAACGCGUGGGAAUAUACCCUUUACUACGGAAUAGCCUCGGGAAACUGAGGGUAAUACCGUAUACGCCCUUCGGGGGAAAGAUUUAUCGGUAAAGGAUUAGCCCGCGUAAGAUUAGAUAGUUGGUGGGGUAAUGGCCUACCAAGUCUACGAUCUUUAGCUGGUUUGAGAGGAUGAUCAGCAACACUGGGACUGAGACACGGCCCAGACUCCUACGGGAGGCAGCAGUGGGGAAUCUUAGACAAUGGGCGCAAGCCUGAUCUAGCCAUGCCGCGUGAGUGACGAAGGCCUUAGGGUCGUAAAGCUCUUUCGCCAGAGAUGAUAAUGACAGUAUCUGGUAAAGAAACCCCGGCUAACUCCGUGCCAGCAGCCGCGGUAAUACGGAGGGGGUUAGCGUUGUUCGGAAUUACUGGGCGUAAAGCGUACGUAGGCGGAUUGGAAAGUAGGGGGUGAAAUCCCAGGGCUCAACCCUGGAACUGCCUCCUAAACUAACAGUCUAGAGUUCGAGAGAGGUGAGUGGAAUUCCAAGUGUAGAGGUGAAAUUCGUAGAUAUUUGGAGGAGCACCAGUGGCGAAGGCGGCUCACUGGCUCGAUACUGACGCUGAGGUACGAAAGUGUGGGGAGCAAACAGGAUUAGAUACCCUGGUAG
RNAcentral lists this ribosomal RNA (736 nucleotides) under uncultured bacterium. RNAcentral's name for it is "bacterial SSU rRNA". It matches the Rfam family "Bacterial small subunit ribosomal RNA", at positions 14 to 793 of the family's 1533-position model. The record is from RNAcentral.